AUGACUGGCCAGGGGAAGGCUGAAGGAUACCUGAAUAAUUUCAUGAUAAUCAUCUGGAAGAUACCUGAUCUAGGAAGAGGAGGCAGGAAAAGAAAGAUUGCUGGACCAUGUUUGAAUGCAAUAGUAUGCCUGAGAAAAAAUCUGCCCACCUCCACUCUAAGGUGUUGUGUGUUAAAUAUUUCCACGGUGGCCAGGGCCCCACGCAAUCAGCAAGUGCUACCGUUCCCAUGCCUGGUAUCAGGGGACCGUGUAAACCUAUGGCUAGGGUCCCCCGCCUGGGCCCCAGGGUGGAGAUGCUCAAAGGAAUGCCAGUAAAGCAACCGGAGGAAGCUGCUGCACCAGCGAAGAGGGCCACAUACCACAGCAGAUCCCAGUCGGGGUCGUCCAGAAGCCUGCUGGCCUCCUAGAGAGGCUCCCUAGCAACCUGGAGUCAGCCUGCUCGGAACCUUUGACUUCACAGAAGCAUUUGGUGAGUGCUCAAGGGCUUUUUGUGCACCAGAGCCAGUAAAAUGCCAUGUUUGCCAGCAUGUGAAAUGCCCAGGGAUAUCAGAUACGUCUCAAUUUUUCAGAAAGUUUUUUGGAAAAAAUAAAAACUAAGCUAUAAGGGAAAUAUUUUAUUUUAUUCCUAUAAAUAUAGUACACUGCAUUGUGACUCGGCUAAAAAUAUAUAUGUGGGGUUUAAAAAAAAAAAAAAGUCUAUUAUCCCUAAAAACAAGAAUAAAAUCAUUAAGCUAAAAAGAAAUAUCUUGGUAUUUAUGAAUAUGAGUUGCAGUGAAAAAACACUUAAAUUCAUAACAUAGUGGAAUUAUUCAAAUUCUAUAUUUAUCUGUGUGGUCUCUGGUUUUCCUUUUUGUUUUGUUUUUUGGUAAGAGGAUGAAAAGCGCUCGCCUUUGCAGAAAUGUAUGUUGCCAUCCUCUGCCACUAGGGGGCAGCAUGCCCCAUUAUUUUACCUCUGUCUCAGCCUUCCAGCUGUCCCUAAUAGCAACGUGUUUAAGACUGACAAGAAAACUCGUGUAUAUAAUAAGCAAUUAGACAUUGUAUAAUGCCAUAUAUUUGAUGGAUAUGUUAUGUGUAUAGUAUUAUACAAUAUGCAAUAUAUCUCAUGUUGUAACAUAUACAUUAUUCAUAUAUAAAGUAUAAAAUUUUAUUUUGCAUAUAUAAUACAUCAUUUGGGAAAAGUGGGGAAUGUAUCCUAUACACCAGUAAACACAGCAAGCCUCACUGGAGCACAAAAAAAUCCAGUCAGAGUUCACCUGCUUCUAUUAAAAGAAUGAGGGCAGCUGUAUUUGAUGUUAAAGAAGGGAUUAGGCCUAUCAAGGUCUUCCCAGCAGAAAGUUCCAGAAGGUACGGAUCACCUAGAAGCCUGCAUGGUCACUGACCAGCUUGUGGAAGGAGAGGGAGGACGGGAGUCACGGGAUGUACAGACUCAGUAGCCAAGGAAUCUCAGAGAUGCCCAAUCUAACUCAGAAGCCAAGAGGCCAAGGGACAACAAAACCAAGAGGCCAGAGCACCGCAAGGACACAGGGAGCCCUGGAGCCUGAGGGAGAGUCCAGAGCUGCAGGCAAAGCCGGGUCAAGAGUCCAGGCUUAGAAACAGCCUCAAACCAGCACUCCAAAUAGCUCAGCGAGUCACAUAGUCAGAAUCUCAAAAAUGUGACUUUAAGUUCAUUUCCAAAAUAAGACAAGGAGUGGCAGAAGGGAGAUUCAAAUUCCAACCUGUUCAGACAUUCUGAAACAUAAAACCCUGAAUGUUUGGGGGCAAUUAAUCCACAAAACAUCUCAGUCCGCUUCUAACAUCUGCCUCUGGAGCAAGGAUGGAAAGCACUGGAAAUGAAGGGCUUUCCUGGAUCUGGGAAUCUGGGUGCACAGGCCAGUUCCCAACAUUCAUGUGAACAUCCCUUUUCUGCAGUCAGAACUAAAGCUGGCUUCUGCAUGAUCCACGUACAUGAGAUCUGCACACAUGAAAUGUCUUUGUGCUGCUUCUCAGCAUACAUCAUACUUUUCCCAUGAAACAUUUCAUUUAAGACCAAAAAAAAAAGACCUAUGAGAUAGGUAUUAAUAUCAUACCCACUGUACAGAUGAAGAAACAGACACUGAGAGCUUAAGCAACUUGCCCGAGCUCACAAUAGUGAGUGACGUGACGGUGCCAGGACUUAAAACAGAAAACUCUUUGUAUUAGUCCUUUUCAUACUGCUAUAAAGAACUUCCAGAGAAUGAGUAAUUUACAAAGGAAAGAGGUUUAAUUGACUCACCGUGCAGCAUGGCUGGGGAGGCCUCUGGAAAUUUACAAUCAUCGCAGAAGGCGAAGGGGAAGCAAGAUACCUUCUUCACAAGGUGGCAAGAAGGAGAAGUGCCAAAUGAAGGAGGAAGAGCCCCUGAUGAAACCACCAGAUCUCGUGAGAACUCACUCACUGUCACGAGAACAGCAUGGGGAAAACCACUCCAUGGUUCAAUUACCUCCACCUGGUCUCUCUCUUGACGUGUGAGGGUGACGGGGAUUACAAUUCAAGAUGAGAUUUGGGUGGGGACACAAAGCCUAACUGUAUCACUCUUCUUGCUUCAAAAUUGCCUGUUCUUUCUGCUACAUUUGCUGCCUCCAAAAAAAAGUAUUUAUCUGAGCCAGGAAGUGUAUAAAAAGGCAAGCUUCAAUGAGCACAAUAGAUUGGUACACAUCGGAGGCACUGGAACCAGAGCAACUCCAUCUUGAACAGUGGCUGGGUGAAAUGAGGCUGAGACCUGCUGGGCUGCAUUCCCAAGAGGUUAGGUAUUCUUAGUCACAGGACGAGAUAGGAGGUUGGGCCGGGCGCGGUGGCUCACGCCUGUAAUCCCAGCACUUGGGGAGGCCAAGGUGGGCGGAUCACGAGGUCAGGUGAUCAAGACCAUUCUGGCUAACACGGUGAAACCCCGUCUCUACUAAAAAUACCAAAAAUUAGCCAGGCAUGGUGGCGGGUGCCUGUAGUCCCAGCUACUAGGGAGGCUGAAGCAGGAGAAUGGCGUGAACCCAGGAGACAGAGCUUGCAGUGAGCCAAGAUCGCACCACUACACUCCAGUCUGGACAACAGUGCAAGACUCCGUCUCAAAAAAAAAAAAAAAAAGGAGGUUGGCAGGACCAUUAUCACAAGAUACAGGUCACAAAAACCCUACUGAUAAAACAGGAUGCAGUAAAGAAGCCAGACAAAACUUGCCAAAAUCAAGAUGGUGACAAAAGUGGCCUCUGGUCAUCAUCACUGCUCAUUGUACACUAAUUAUAAUGCAUUAGCAUGCUAAAAGACACUCCCACAAGCAGCAUGACAGUUUAUAAAUGCCAUG
Long non-coding RNA from Macaca mulatta (Rhesus monkey), 3308 nucleotides. The record is from Ensembl. NCBI's taxonomy places the organism in Eukaryota, Metazoa, Chordata, Mammalia, Primates, Cercopithecidae.